This 468-nucleotide ribosomal RNA is filed under the name uncultured bacterium. RNAcentral's name for it is "partial 16S ribosomal RNA". It matches the Rfam family "Bacterial small subunit ribosomal RNA", at positions 28 to 507 of the family's 1533-position model. The record is from RNAcentral.
GACGAACGCUGGCGGCGUGCUUAACACAUGCAAGUCGAACGGAAAGGCCCUGCUUUUGUGGGGUGCUCGAGUGGCGAACGGGUGAGUAACACGUGAGUAACCUGCCCUUGACUUUGGGAUAACUUCAGGAAACUGGGGCUAAUACCGGAUAGGAGCUCCUGCUGCAUGGUGGGGGUUGGAAAGUUUCGGCGGUUGGGGAUGGACUCGCGGCUUAUCGGCUUGUUGGUGGGGUAGUGGCUUACCAAGGCUUUGACGGGUAGCCGGCCUGAGAGGGUGACCGGCCACAUUGGGACUGAGAUACGGCCCAGACUCCUACGGGAGGCAGCAGUGGGGAAUAUUGCAGAAUGGGCGGAAGCCUGAUGCGGCAACGCCGCGUGCGGGAUGACGGCCUUCGGGUUGUAAACCGCUUUCGCCUGUGACGAAGCGGGAGUGACGGUAAUGGGUAAAGAAGCACCGGCUAACUACGUG